This 397-nucleotide ribosomal RNA is filed under the name uncultured bacterium. Its description in RNAcentral is "partial 16S ribosomal RNA". It matches the Rfam family "Bacterial small subunit ribosomal RNA", at positions 523 to 918 of the family's 1533-position model. The record is from RNAcentral.
AUACGUAGGUGGCAAGCGUUGUCCGGAUUUAUUGGGCGUAAAGCGAGCGCAGGCGGUUCUUUAAGUCUUAUGUGAAAGUCCCCGGCUCAACCGGGGAGGGUCAUUGGAAACUGGAGGACUUGAGUGCAGAAGAGGAGAGUGGAAUUCCAUGUGUAGCGGUGAAAUGCGAAGAUAUAUGGAGGAACACCAGUGGCGAAGGCGGCUCUCUGGUCUGUAACUGACGCUGAGGCUCGAAAGCGUGGGGAGCAAACAGGAUUAGAUACCCUGGUAGUCCACGCCGUAAACGAUGAGUGCUAAGUGUUGGAGGGUUUCCGCCCUUCAGUGCUGCAGCUAACGCAUUAAGCACUCCGCCUGGGGAGUACGGCCGCAAGGCUGAAACUCAAAUGAAUUGACGGGG